This is a non-coding RNA of Canis lupus familiaris (dog), 188 nucleotides long. NCBI's taxonomy places the organism in Eukaryota, Metazoa, Chordata, Mammalia, Carnivora, Canidae. The record is from Rfam.
AUCGCUUCUCGGCCUUUUGGCUAAGAUCAAGUGUAGUAUCUGUUCUUAUCAGUUUAACAUCUGAUACGUCCUCUAUCCAAUAUAAAAGUAAAGUCUAAGUCAUUACAACAUUCUUCCAGGAAAGUUCUAAUAGUCCAUUAGAAUAAAAUUGGGAUAUAGAAUCACGAUCUCUAAUCUAAUAACUAGUC